AUUGAACGCUGGCGGCAUGCCUAACACAUGCAAGUCGAACGGUAACACCAUGAGCGUGUCCUCCUACCGGUGGCGGGGGGCGGAAGAGUGAGGAAUGUAUCUGCUACUACUGUUUCAUGGCUCACAACGGUAGCUAACACCUCAUAAUAUCUCAUAAUGCCAACGGGUGACCUCAGGGGCUCUUGCUACUUUUGCGGAUUGUAUUAGCUGAUGUCGGAUUAGCUAGUUGGGGGGGUAAAGGCCUACCAAGGCGACGAUCCGUAGCUGGUCUGAGAGGACGAUCAGCCACACUGGAACUGAGACACGGUCCAGACUCCUACGGGAGGCAGCAGUGGGGAAUUUUGGACAAUGGGCGCAAGCCUGAUCCAGCAAUGCCGCGUGAAUGAUGAAGGCCUUCGGGUUGUAAAGCGCUUUUGUUCGGAAAGAAAAGCUGUAGGAUAAUACAGGAGGGUCAUGACGGUACCGAAAGAAUAAGCACCGGCUAACUACGUG
Molecule: ribosomal RNA, 492 nt
Filed under: uncultured bacterium
Lineage: Bacteria
Description: partial 16S ribosomal RNA
Rfam family: Bacterial small subunit ribosomal RNA
Source: RNAcentral